This 501-nucleotide ribosomal RNA is filed under the name uncultured bacterium. RNAcentral's name for it is "partial 16S ribosomal RNA". It matches the Rfam family "Bacterial small subunit ribosomal RNA", at positions 30 to 523 of the family's 1533-position model. The record is from RNAcentral.
AUUGAACGCUGGCGGCAUGCCUUACACAUGCAAGUCGAACGGCAGCACGGGUGCUUGCACCUGGUGGCGAGUGGCGAACGGGUGAGUAAUAUAUCGGAACGUACCUUAUUGUGGGGGAUAACGCAGCGAAAGCUGUGCUAAUACCGCAUAAUCCCUAAGGGGGAAAGCGGGGGACCGUAAGGCCUCGCGCAAUUAGAGCGGCUGAUACCUGAUUAGCUAGUUGGUGAGGUAAAGGCUCACCAAGGCAACGAUCAGUAGCUGGUCUGAGAGGACGAUCAGCCACACUGGGACUGAGACACGGCCCAGACUCCUACGGGAGGCAGCAGUGGGGAAUUUUGGACAAUGGGGGCAACCCUGAUCCAGCAAUGCCGCGUGAGUGAAGAAGGCCUUCGGGUUGUAAAGCUCUUUUGUCAGGGAAGAAACAGCAGCUCUAACACAGUUUGCGAAUGACGGUACCUGAAGAAAAAGCACCGGCUAACUACGUGCCAGCCGCCGCGGUAA